AUCAACCAAUCAAACAUAGUUUUCCAAGUUCCACGAUAUUAACUUUCAAUCCACUCAAGCAUAUUAGAUUCAAGACUUUUGGAAGAAUAAGCUGACCAUGGAGGAAUUUUUUACAAUAAACAAGACCUUCCUUAUAUUAUGAUUAUGUGAUUUUGAUCGACAAAUCACUACCCUGUAUACAAGCAUGUGGUAGUUCAGAGCAUAUAGCAACUGCUCCAAAAACCCCU
This 227-nucleotide long non-coding RNA is filed under the name Trifolium pratense (red clover). RNAcentral's name for it is "long non-coding RNA (TPRA_LNC002970)". The record is from RNAcentral. Lineage: Eukaryota; Viridiplantae; Streptophyta; Magnoliopsida; Fabales; Fabaceae.